AAUGUAUUCUUCUUUUUUUUUUUUAAGACUUCAAUUCUUUUCUAUUUUAUUUUUCCUAAAAACUCUGAUUUUGCAAAAUCACUGAAAAGUGAAUGGGAAACUUUAAUAAUCGCGAUUGGUUACAACUUACAAGCUCUAUAAAAAAAUUGCAGAGCAUUCAAUGUCAAAAAAUGGGCUAUAAAUAUAUUUAUUAAUUGUCAAAAAGAAAAAGAACAAAAAAUAUUGAGAUUUUUUAUACAGAGUGAAAAGAGAUUAUAUAACAAUAUCAAUGAAAAUUCUUUACUUGUUAAAUAUUAAAAAUAUAGAAUUUAAUUUAUCAUGAAAAGAAUUACUUAUAGCAAAUAUGAAAAAUUCUAUUAAGAUGAGUUUUAGAAAAUUA
This 379-nucleotide unclassified non-coding RNA is filed under the name Hevea brasiliensis (rubber tree). Lineage: Eukaryota; Viridiplantae; Streptophyta; Magnoliopsida; Malpighiales; Euphorbiaceae. The record is from RNAcentral.